GCCUAGGUGGCUCAGUCGGUUAAGCGUCUGACUUCGGCUCAGGUCAUGAUCUCACGGCUUGUGGGUUCGAGCCCCACAUCGGGCU
This 85-nucleotide transfer RNA is filed under the name Felis catus (domestic cat). It matches the Rfam family "tRNA". From Rfam's summary of the family: Transfer RNA (tRNA) molecules are approximately 80 nucleotides in length. Their secondary structure includes four short double-helical elements and three loops (D, anti-codon, and T loops). The record is from Rfam by way of RNAcentral. Lineage: Eukaryota; Metazoa; Chordata; Mammalia; Carnivora; Felidae.